RNAcentral lists this ribosomal RNA (253 nucleotides) under uncultured bacterium. RNAcentral describes it as "partial 16S ribosomal RNA". It matches the Rfam family "Bacterial small subunit ribosomal RNA", at positions 524 to 776 of the family's 1533-position model. The record is from RNAcentral.
GACGAACCGAGCGAACGUUGUUCGGAAUCACUGGGCUUAAAGGGCGCGUAGGCAGGUGCUCAAGUCUGUGGUGAAAUCCUCCGGCUCAACCGGAGAACUGCCAUGGAUACUGGGUGCCUCGAGGGUGGUAGGGGUAUGCGGAACUAUCGGUGGAGCGGUGAAAUGCGUUGAUAUCGAUAGGAACUCCGGUGGCGAAGGCGGCAUACUGGAUCACAUCUGACGCUGAGGCGCGAAAGCCAGGGGAGCGAACGGG